This 647-nucleotide ribosomal RNA is filed under the name uncultured bacterium. RNAcentral describes it as "bacterial SSU rRNA". It matches the Rfam family "Bacterial small subunit ribosomal RNA", at positions 167 to 800 of the family's 1533-position model. The record is from RNAcentral.
UACCGGAUAGCAACAAUGUCUGCAUGGCUAUUGCUUAAAAGGCGGCGAAAGCUGUCGCUAAAGGAUGGACCCGCGGUGCAUUAGCUAGUUGGUAAGGUAAUGGCUUACCAAGGCGACGAUGCAUAGCCGAGUUGAGAGACUGAUCGGCCACAUUGGGACUGAGACACGGCCCAAACUCCUACGGGAGGCAGCAGUAGGGAAUCUUCCACAAUGGGCGAAAGCCUGAUGGAGCAACGCCGCGUGAGUGAAGAAGGUUUUCGGAUCGUAAAGCUCUGUUGUUGGUGAAGAAGGAUAGAGGUAGUAACUGGCCCCUAUUUGACGGUAAUCAACCAGAAAGUCACGGCUAACUACGUGCCAGCAGCCGCGGUAAUACGUAGGUGGCAAGCGUUGUCCGGAUUUAUUGGGCGUAAAGCGAGCGCAGGCGGAAAGAUAAGUCUGAUGUGAAAGCCCCCGGCUUAACCGAGGAAUUGCAUCGGAAACUGUGUUUCUUGAGUGCAGAAGAGGAGAGUGGAACUCCAUGUGUAGCGGUGGAAUGCGUAGAUAUAUGGAAGAACACCAGUGGCGAAGGCGGCUCUCUGGUCUGUAACUGACGCUGAGGCUCGAAAGCAUGGGUAGCGAACAGGAUUAGAUACCCUGGUAGUCCAUGC